Molecule: long non-coding RNA, 469 nt
Filed under: Marmota monax (woodchuck)
Lineage: Eukaryota; Metazoa; Chordata; Mammalia; Rodentia; Sciuridae
Source: RNAcentral
AUGAGGGUGCCAAGAUGGCUUUUCGAGACCGCAGAUCUGUCAGACCCGCAGUCUGACAGCUCCGGACAGAGGCCGGAGGGAGGCGGGCCUGUCGGCUUUGGAACACUUUGAUCUCAGCCGGAAGAUAGGUGUUCCCGUCUCACAGGGCAGGGGGCGCCUGGAGAGCCGUAGGGUCUCUCAAUCCCCUCACCGCCGCUUCCUCACUCCUCCAAGGGAAAAAUGAAUUCGUACAUUUUUGGAGGUCCCUUUCUCUUGAAUUUUGAAUCCACCUUUCAAGAAUAAUUAUAGGGCUGGGACUGUAGAGUGCUUACCUAGUGUGCUUGAAGCCCUGGGUUCAAUCCCCAGGACCAUUUUGGAAAUGAGUCAUCACAGCCUCUGCCUUGGUGGCAUAAAUUUGUGUAUGUAUUCAAGCGAUAAAAUCAUUAUUUAACUAAAAAGAAAAAAAGGAAUAAUUGCACCAUUUUUUAAG